This 625-nucleotide ribosomal RNA is filed under the name uncultured bacterium. RNAcentral's name for it is "bacterial SSU rRNA". It matches the Rfam family "Bacterial small subunit ribosomal RNA", at positions 39 to 653 of the family's 1533-position model. The record is from RNAcentral.
GAGGCAGGCCUAACACAUGCAAGUCGAACGGCAGCGGGGGGUAGCUUGCUACCUCGCCGGCGAGUGGCGGACGGGUGAGUAAUGCCUGGGGAGCUGCCCAAUCGAGGGGGAUACCAGUUGGAAACGACUGCUAAUACCGCAUACGCCCUGAGGGGGAAAGGUGGGGAUCUUCGGACCUACCGCGAUUGGAUGCGCCCAGGUGGGAUUAGCUAGUUGGUGAGGUAACGGCUCACCAAGGCGACGAUCUCUAGCUGUUCUGAGAGGAUGACCAGCCACACUGGAACUGAGACACGGUCCAGACUCCUACGGGAGGCAGCAGUGGGGAAUAUUGCACAAUGGGGGAAACCCUGAUGCAGCCAUGCCGCGUGUGUGAAGAAGGCCUUCGGGUUGUAAAGCACUUUCAGUCAGGAGGAAAGGUGGCUAGCUAAUACCUAGUUGCUGUGACGUUACUGACAGAAGAAGCACCGGCUAACUCCGUGCCAGCAGCCGCGGUAAUACGGAGGGUGCAAGCGUUAAUCGGAAUUACUGGGCGUAAAGCGCACGCAGGCGGCUUGUUACGUCAGAUGUGAAAGCCCCGGGCUCAACCUGGGAACUGCAUUUGAAACUGACAAGCUAGAGUCUUGUA